Candidatus Nanosalina sp. J07AB43 is the source of this 89-nucleotide transfer RNA. It matches the Rfam family "tRNA". From Rfam's summary of the family: Transfer RNA (tRNA) molecules are approximately 80 nucleotides in length. The record is from Rfam. NCBI's taxonomy places the organism in Archaea, Methanobacteriati, Methanobacteriota, Candidatus Nanohaloarchaea.
GCCAGCGUGGCGGAGUCUGGUCGAACGCGGCAGAUUCGAGAUCUGCUGGCCCACACGCGGCCUCCUCGGUUCAAAUCCGAGCGCUGGCG